This 1348-nucleotide ribosomal RNA is filed under the name uncultured bacterium. RNAcentral's name for it is "bacterial SSU rRNA". It matches the Rfam family "Bacterial small subunit ribosomal RNA", at positions 13 to 1381 of the family's 1533-position model. The record is from RNAcentral.
UUGAUCCUGGCUCAGGACGAACGCUGGCGGCACGCUUAACACAUGCAAGUCGAACGAGAGAAGAGAAGCUUGCUUUUCUGAUCUAGUGGCGGACGGGUGAGUAACACGUGAGCAAUCUGCCUUUCAGAGGGGGAUACCGAUUGGAAACGAUCGUUAAUACCGCAUAACAUAAUUGAACCGCAUGAUUUGAUUAUCAAAGAUUUAUCGCUGAAAGAUGAGCUCGCGUCUGAUUAGCUAGUUGGUAAGGUAACGGCUUACCAAGGCGACGAUCAGUAGCCGGACUGAGAGGUUGAUCGGCCACAUUGGGACUGAGACACGGCCCAGACUCCUACGGGAGGCAGCAGUGGGGAAUAUUGCACAAUGGAGGAAACUCUGAUGCAGCGAUGCCGCGUGAGGGAAGAAGGUUUUAGGAUUGUAAACCUCUGUCUUCAGGGACGAAAAAAGACGGUACCUGAGGAGGAAGCUCCGGCUAACUACGUGCCAGCAGCCGCGGUAAUACGUAGGGAGCGAGCGUUGUCCGGAAUUACUGGGUGUAAAGGGAGCGUAGGCGGGAUCGCAAGUCAGAUGUGAAAACUAUGGGCUUAACCCAUAAACUGCAUUUGAAACUGUGGUUCUUGAGUGAAGUAGAGGUAAGCGGAAUUCCUAGUGUAGCGGUGAAAUGCGUAGAUAUUAGGAGGAACAUCAGUGGCGAAGGCGGCUUACUGGGCUUUAACUGACGCUGAGGCUCGAAAGCGUGGGGAGCAAACAGGAUUAGAUACCCUGGUAGUCCACGCCGUAAACGAUGAUUACUAGGUGUGGGGGGACUGACCCCUUCCGUGCCGCAGCAAACGCAAUAAGUAAUCCACCUGGGGAGUACGACCGCAAGGUUGAAACUCAAAGGAAUUGACGGGGGCCCGCACAAGCAGUGGAGUAUGUGGAUUAAUUCGAAGCAACGCGAAGAACCUUACCAGGUCUUGACAUCGUAUGCAUAGCUCAGAGAUGAGUGAAAUCUCUUCGGAGACAUAUAGACAGGUGGUGCAUGGUUGUCGUCAGCUCGUGUCGUGAGAUGUUGGGUUAAGUCCCGCAACGAGCGCAACCCUUACUGUUAGUUGCUACGCAAGAGCACUCUAGCAGGACUGCCGUUGACAAAACGGAGGAAGGUGGGGAUGACGUCAAAUCAUCAUGCCCUUUAUGACCUGGGCCUCACACGUACUACAAUGGCUGUCAACAGAGGGAAGCAAAGCCGCGAGGUGGAGCAAACCCCUAAAAGCAGUCUUAGUUCGGAUUGUAGGCUGCAACCUGCCUACAUGAAGUCGGAAUUGCUAGUAAUCGCAGAUCAGCAUGCUGCGGUGAAUACGUUCCCGGGCCU